Molecule: ribosomal RNA, 571 nt
Filed under: Boana albopunctata (spotted treefrog)
Lineage: Eukaryota; Metazoa; Chordata; Amphibia; Anura; Hylidae
Description: partial large subunit ribosomal RNA
Rfam family: Bacterial large subunit ribosomal RNA
Source: RNAcentral
CGCCUCUUGAUGAAAUAUAAUAGGUCCAGCCUGCCCAGUGACCUAGUUCAACGGCCGCGGUAUCCUAACCGUGCGAAGGUAGCGUAAUCACUUGUUCUUUAAAUGAGGACUAGUAUGAAUGGCACCACGAGGGUUAAGCUGUCUCCUUUUUCUAAUCAGUGAAACUAAUCUCCCCGUGAAGAAGCGGGGAUUAUAAUAUAAGACGAGAAGACCCUAUGGAGCUUAAAACAAAUUAACACCUGCUUCUACCUAUUUUCCUUCCUGAACUAAUACAUAAAAUAUAGCACCAUUGAUUAAUAGUUUUUGAUUGGGGUGAUCAUGGAGUAAAAAUUAACCUCCACGACGAAAAGGGGCACUUCCCUGAGCUAAAAGCUACAACUUUAGGCACUAAAAAAAUUAACGCACUUUGACCCAAAUUUUUGAGCAACGAACCAAGUUACCCUAGGGAUAACAGCGCAAUCCAUUUCAAGAGCUCCUAUCGACAAAUGGGUUUACGACCUCGAUGUUGGAUCAGGGUAUCCCAGUGGUGCAGCCGCUACUAAAGGUUCGUUUGUUCAACGAUUAAAACCCU